This 72-nucleotide transfer RNA is filed under the name Perkinsus olseni. RNAcentral's name for it is "tRNA-Gln". It matches the Rfam family "tRNA". Rfam says of the family: Transfer RNA (tRNA) molecules are approximately 80 nucleotides in length. Their secondary structure includes four short double-helical elements and three loops (D, anti-codon, and T loops). The record is from RNAcentral. Lineage: Eukaryota; Perkinsozoa; Perkinsida; Perkinsidae.
GGUUCUAUAGUGUAGUGGUUAGCACUCUGUACUUUGAACCCAGCGUCUCGGGUUCGAAUCCCGAUAGAAUCU